AGCAGCCGCGGUAAUUCCAGCUCCAAUAGCGUAUAUUAAAGUUGUUGCAGUUAAAAAGCUCGUAGUUGAAUUUCGGGAUCAAUAUGUUGGUCGUGCCUUGGUACGUACUAAUUUAUUGGUUUCUUCCUUCUGACGAACCAUGAUGUCAUUAAUUUUGUGUCUUGGGGAAUCAGGACUGUUACUUUGAAAAAAUUAGAGUGUUUAAAGCAGGCUCACGCUUGAAUACAUUAGCAUGGAAUAAUGAAAUAGGACGUUUGAUUCUAUUUUGUUGGUUUCUAGGAUCGACGUAAUGAUUAAUAGGGAUAGUUGGGGGCAUUAGUAUUCAAUUGUCAGAGGUGAAAUUCUUGGAUUUAUUGAAGACUAACUACUGCGAAAGCAUUUGCCAAGGAUGUUUUCAUUAAUCAAGAACGAAGGUUAGGGGAUCGAAGACGAUCAGAUACCGUCGUAGUCUUAACCAUAAACUAUGCCGACUAGGGAUCGGAUGAUGUUAAUUUUUAAUGACUCAUUCGGCGCCUUAAC
Molecule: ribosomal RNA, 519 nt
Filed under: uncultured Glomus
Lineage: Eukaryota; Fungi; Glomeromycota; Glomeromycetes; Glomerales; Glomeraceae
Description: SSU rRNA
Rfam family: Eukaryotic small subunit ribosomal RNA
Source: RNAcentral